UACGUAGGGGGCGAGCGUUGUCCGGAUUCAUUGGGCGUAAAGAGCUCGUAGGCGGUUUGGUAAGUCGGGUGUGAAAACCCCAGGCUCAACCUGGGGACGCCACCUGAUACUGCUAUGACUUGAGUCUGGUAGGGGAUCACGGAAUUCCUGGUGUAGCGGUGAAAUGCGCAGAUAUCAGGAGGAACACCGGUGGCGAAGGCGGCUCUCUGGGACGGUACUGACGCUGAGACGCGAAAGCGUGGGGAGCGAACAGG
RNAcentral lists this ribosomal RNA (254 nucleotides) under uncultured bacterium. RNAcentral's name for it is "partial 16S ribosomal RNA". It matches the Rfam family "Bacterial small subunit ribosomal RNA", at positions 524 to 776 of the family's 1533-position model. The record is from RNAcentral.